This 734-nucleotide long non-coding RNA is filed under the name Pan paniscus (pygmy chimpanzee). RNAcentral describes it as "lncRNA (ENSPPAG00000044162.1)". Lineage: Eukaryota; Metazoa; Chordata; Mammalia; Primates; Hominidae. The record is from RNAcentral.
GAAGGUGGCUGUGCUAGAAGCCUCAGCUGGACUGGAUAUCAAACUAGAAUGGGACUGGGAAGAGGAGUGUGCUCGGGCUGGGACCAUGGGUAACAUGAAAGAGAGUAUUUGUUUCUCUGGAAAACAUCGUCUCAAGUUACAAGCCAAGCUGCCUCUAGAUGUCCCUUUUCAACUCAUUCGAAAAAAAUACAGGGCUAUGUCCAAACCUCAAUGUUGAAAGCAUUUAGGAGGAUAUCCAAUUCACAGCCCACAGGCCCACUUCCAAGAAAAGAAACAAAUAAUGCAAAUGAUUACCUAUUAUCUUUUGCUCUGACAUCUCUCAAGCAAGUCUGGAGACCUUCUUUCCUCAUUCUGAAACCACAUCUCAAACUUCUGCCUAGCACGCUCUCCGCCCAGGCUCCUCAAUUCCCGUCUCUGACAAAGCCAUGCUUUGCUGCCUCUCUGAGGGAGUGACUCUGGGGACCUGUCCCUGCCUAUUUUGGGGUAGCCUGAAGAUCCAGCAGCUGCACGUCCUCUGGUCCUUUGCUCAUAAAGACAGCUGUGGCCAGUGCUCCUUGGAAAGCUGGGCUCUGUUCUCACUUUGAUUGCUUUUCUUAUGGGAAAAACUCCUAAACCUCUUUCAGAAAAAGAUAUCCACCUUCCACCUAAGCAAAACCUUCUGGGGUUGAUAAGUGAAAAUAAAACAGCCUCAGAGUUGUAAAUGAUUCACACAUUCAUGCAGAGUUCUGUAUACG